Non-coding RNA from Gossypium arboreum, 132 nucleotides. NCBI's taxonomy places the organism in Eukaryota, Viridiplantae, Streptophyta, Magnoliopsida, Malvales, Malvaceae. The record is from Rfam.
UGUUAAAAAUUUCAUUUAGUUCUAUUGUUAAAAACUAACGUGAUUGAAGGAAUAAUCAAAUAAUUACACAUAUAUUUCAUCCUAGGAUUCAAAACCAGUUUUUAAUAAUAGAAAUGAAUGGAAUUUUUAAUA